UACGAAGGGGGCUAGCGUUGCUCAGAAUCACUGGGCGUAAAGGGUGCGUAGGCGGGUCUUUAAGUCAGGGGUGAAAUCCUGGAGCUCAACUCCAGAACUGCCUUUGAUACUGGAGAUCUCGAGUCCGGAAGAGGUGAGUGGAACUCCGAGUGUAGAGGUGAAAUUCGUAGAUAUUCGGAAGAACACCAGUGGCGAAGGCGGCUCACUGGUCCGGUACUGACGCUGAUGUGCGAAAGCGUGGGGAGCAAACAGG
RNAcentral lists this ribosomal RNA (253 nucleotides) under uncultured bacterium. RNAcentral's name for it is "partial 16S ribosomal RNA". It matches the Rfam family "Bacterial small subunit ribosomal RNA", at positions 524 to 776 of the family's 1533-position model. The record is from RNAcentral.